Molecule: ribosomal RNA, 489 nt
Filed under: Triticum aestivum (bread wheat)
Lineage: Eukaryota; Viridiplantae; Streptophyta; Magnoliopsida; Poales; Poaceae
Description: partial small subunit ribosomal RNA
Source: RNAcentral
AUGGCCGCACACAUCGCCAUGGGACGCAUUGGAGAAGUCUAUCACCAGGAGCUUAAGGAUACAAUUUACCAAAUUUGUGGACGCCGAGACGCGCAAUGGGAGAUGGUCAGAACCAAGAAGGAUGGAUCAAUUGCAGCUUACAUCCAGGAGCAAAACCAACAUAUUCGUCGCCAGGAGAAUCAGAUGUGCACGGACAAGGAAGAACUGAAGAAGGCAUUAACGAAGAUCAAGGAGCUCCAAGAAGAACUCAAGGCUACACGCGAAGAUUAUUUGGAGGAAAUCAACGCACUAGUAGGGAAGAAUGACGACCUGGAGAAGAAGAUUGGAGUAUUCGUGGGAAAUCCAGUGCCAAAAGCAGAAGUCGACGAAUGCACUUGUCCGGAUAACUACAUCAUCAUCGACGACACCGACUCAGAACCAAGUGAAGACGACUGGGUUGAUGAAGCUGGAGCAGACAUCAUGGAGUCUUCAACGGAUCAGAAUUUCUAG